CGGAGGGAGCAGGAGCUGCUGGCACACAGAGGGAGCAGGGAGCAGGAGCUGCUGGCACACAGGGGGAGCAGGGAGCAGGAGCUGCUGGCACACAGAGGGAGCAGGAAGCAGGAGCCCUCCUGGCACACACGGAGCAGGAGCCCUCCUGGCCCUGCGGGGUCUUGCAGCGCUGUCAGCGCAGCUGCAGCAGCGCAGGAAUCCUGCAGGGAUCGCUCGGGGCCUUCCUGCCCAGCCCCUCGCAGCGGCUCAGGACCCCGAGGGCUCCGGCACUGCUCGGGUGUCGCUGUUCCCGCACGCUGGAAUUCCUGCGGAGGCAGCCGGGAGCACGGGAGGCGGGGGUGGCUCCAGAGCCACGGCCACAAAUUCAUCCAUUUUCCCCCGUUUUCAUAAUUUCAUCAUUUUCCCUGUUGCCUCCCUCAGGCUGGCUCUUCAUGGGUCCACCUGUUGUCCCCUGGCAGGUGGCAGCCCCGAUCCUUGGGAAGGGCAGUGUCUGCUCCUCGCCCGGGUUUGGCCCCGAACCUGCUUGGCUCUGCGAGGCUGCCUGGCAGGAAAGCUGCACCCCUGGCUGGCCUUGUGGUUGUGCCAGUCCUGGGCAGAACAGGGAGAGGCUGCUGCAGCCUGCUGCUCCUCCCGCUGGAGUUACGGUCUGAAAGAAUUCACUCGUUAAGGAAAGGUUCUUUACAGAUGUUUUGCAGGUCUCCACCUGCAAAAUGAAUGGAUGGCCCAAAUUGUUCAGAACAGAGCAAAACAAUGUCUGGUGAUUUUAUUACAAGAAAUCACUGUUUUUAUGUCAGGAGAAGUCAGAGGCAGUAAAAGCUGAGAAGGCAUUCAUCCUCUCCACCAAGCAGCUCCCAAAAGGGUGCACUUGCAGCUGUUAAAGAACGUGAGACAAUCUUAUUCUUAGUUUUUCAUAUGCUGUUAAAUUAACUUUUGUAUGUUUAUGACAAGGCAGCACAUCGUGGGCUGGAACCUGCUCAGCAGCAGCAGCACUGAGUUCUUGCCAGGCUUCCUUUGUGUCUGAGAGCUGAGAAAGAGCUGCCGAGGUGAUCCCAGUGCACCCUGAGCAGGGAUCCAGGGAUGCCGAGCUGUCUCCAGCCCGGAAUGGCUCGGUUCAGGUGGCCCAACCGGGAUUUACUCAGCUUUCACCGCCUGCUGGCCCUGCUGCUCCCGUGGGGGCUCUGCCCCUUUGUGCUUUCCCUUUGUGCUGCCGAGCUGGGAUUAGCGCUGGGAGGUUUAAUGGGAGCUGGGAUUAGCGCUGGGAGGUUUAAUGGGAGCUGGGAUUAGCGCUGGGAGGUUUAAUGGGAGCUGGGAUUGGCGCUGGGAGGUUUAAUGGGAGCUGGGAUUGGCGCUGGGAGGUUUAAUGGCUUUAUCCCAUCACUGUGAGUGUGGAGAGGGAGGGCUUUCACACUGAACUCACUGCAGGUGCAGCAGAGGAAACCUCCCCACUGGAACGUUGGGAAGGGCUGAACUCCAGCAGGAAUCCCCCCGGACGGAGACAAAACCAUUCCUUGCAUCCCUUCUGUGGGUGGGAGCACUGUGCUGGGGCCCUGGAGAGCUGGGGUGAGCACGGCAGGGACAGCUCUGGGCCUCGCCCUGAGACCCCCCUGCAGCUCGGGGGCACCGGCUCCCUUCUGCCCGGGAGCCGCCGAGCUCCUGCUCCUGCUGCUCACUGCGGGGUGUCACCACCCCUGGGUGCCCCAGCAGGGUGUCAUCACCCCUGGGUGCCCCAGCCUGGCUGCUGCGGGGUGUCACCACCCCUGGGUGCCCCAGCAGGGUGUCACCACCCCUGGGUGCCCCAGCCUGGCUGCUGCAGGGUGUCACCACCCCUGGGUGCCCCAGCCUGGCUGCUGCAGGGUGUCGUCACCCCUGGGUGCCCCAGCAGGGUGUCAUCACCCCUGUGUGCUGCAGGGUGUCAUCACCCCUGGGUGCCCCAGCCUGGCUGCUGCAGGGUGUCAUCACCCCUGGGUGCCCCAGCCUGCAGACAUCUCUGGUCUCUCCCCAGAGAAGGGCCCCUCAGGAGGGGCUGUCUCACUCCUCUGUCCCUGUCCAACCCUGGCUCCACCCAGGAUGGAUCCUCAUCCCGAGUUUUCACACUUCUGUAAGUUUUGGCUCAUUUCCAUGUUGGGAUCAGUUGUCCAGUUCCAGCUCAAGGUGAUGCAGUCCCAUCCUCCCAGCUUGCUCUCCUCAGUUCCCCGUGGUUUGCACUUUUUGGGCCUGAGGCUACAGCAGCGUCCUUGGUUCUGGGAUUGUUUUGUCUGACUGAACUCUGGCGAGAACUUGUCACUGCUUCAGAUGAAGUCAGUGCAGCCUCUGGAAAAACAGGAAAGCUCAAACUUGAGGCGUCCCCACGGGGGUGACCCAGAGCUGUGACAGCAGGGCCCGCCCGAGAGCGCCCCAGGCUGGGCUCUGCCGUGCCUCGCGUCGCUCCCGGACUGCAGGACUCGCACCCCAGCCCCAGCCGGUGCUUUCUUGCUCCAGGAAGUUUUUCUGUCCUUCUGGUGAGGUUUGGUAGCACCCCAAAGCUGUGAUUCAGCUGGAUUGAGAGCUGUGAAGUACCCAUAACCCAAAACUCACCCUGGGAGGGUUUUUCAGGCGUGGAAACCUAGUUAAGCAUUUCUUUUCUUCAGCCAUUGCCUUUUGAUAAGCGGUCAACAGAAUUCCCAGUAGUUCCUUUGUAGCUUCCUGUAUGUUUUUCAUUAGACCUAGUUUGUGGAUAAUAUACUGUAGCUCACUUUCCUGAAAUUCUGUAACAGAGUAUGUUUUUGAUUAAAAAAGUUAAAGAUUCA
Molecule: long non-coding RNA, 2786 nt
Organism: Onychostruthus taczanowskii (white-rumped snowfinch)
Lineage: Eukaryota; Metazoa; Chordata; Aves; Passeriformes; Passeridae
Exons: 2
Source: RefSeq, a predicted model, not a curated record